This 215-nucleotide long non-coding RNA is filed under the name Mytilus galloprovincialis (Mediterranean mussel). Lineage: Eukaryota; Metazoa; Mollusca; Bivalvia; Mytilida; Mytilidae. The record is from RNAcentral.
CAAUUUCAAUGAAUAUACAAUAACUUCUUCCAACCCGAACAAUAUUUAAGUUAACCUUUAUAAAUUUACAAUGUUUAAACUGGUACUGUUGCCUUGUUCAUGUUCAUGAUUGUUUUUUUUUGUACAUUAAAUUUUCAGGUUCGUUCGCGCCCAAUACACUUUCGCACCCUACACGUUCGCACCUCGCACGUUCGUACUCUACACGUUCGCGCCCA